UCCCUGGCAGUCCAGUGUUUAGGACUCCGUGCUUCCACCACAGAGGGCACAGGUUCGAUCCCUGGUUGGGGAA
RNAcentral lists this transfer RNA (73 nucleotides) under Ovis aries (sheep). It matches the Rfam family "tRNA". Rfam says of the family: Transfer RNA (tRNA) molecules are approximately 80 nucleotides in length. Their secondary structure includes four short double-helical elements and three loops (D, anti-codon, and T loops). Lineage: Eukaryota; Metazoa; Chordata; Mammalia; Artiodactyla; Bovidae. The record is from Rfam by way of RNAcentral.